Molecule: transfer RNA, 63 nt
Filed under: Fukomys damarensis (Damara mole-rat)
Lineage: Eukaryota; Metazoa; Chordata; Mammalia; Rodentia; Bathyergidae
Rfam family: tRNA
About the family: Transfer RNA (tRNA) molecules are approximately 80 nucleotides in length. Their secondary structure includes four short double-helical elements and three loops (D, anti-codon, and T loops). Further hydrogen bonds mediate the characteristic L-shaped molecular structure. tRNAs have two regions of fundamental functional importance: the anti-codon, which is responsible for specific mRNA codon recognition, and the 3' end, to which the tRNAs corresponding amino acid is attached (by aminoacyl-tRNA synthetases). tRNAs cope with the degeneracy of the genetic code in two manners: having more than one tRNA (with a specific anti-codon) for a particular amino acid; and 'wobble' base-pairing, i.e. permitting non-standard base-pairing at the 3rd anti-codon position.
Source: Rfam by way of RNAcentral
GGGGAUAUAGCUCAGUGGUAGAGCACUUGCCUAGCAUGCCCAAGGCCCACAGCUCUAUCCCCA